This is a long non-coding RNA of Chiroxiphia lanceolata (lance-tailed manakin), 401 nucleotides long. RefSeq lists it as uncharacterized. The transcript is spliced from 4 exons. NCBI's taxonomy places the organism in Eukaryota, Metazoa, Chordata, Aves, Passeriformes, Pipridae. The record is from RefSeq and is a predicted model, not a curated record.
CUUCCAUAAGCACUUGGGUUUGAUAAAAGUCCCUCUGAUUGUCGGACCUGGGCCCUGGGAAGAAUAGUGGAUUCUAUUUUCCUCAUAUAAAAUUUGGAGAAAUUUUCCAUGCCCACAUCCAUGCAGACUGCCUUAUUGCUGGGUUUGAGGAGGCUGAGUCUCCAUUAGCUGAGCAGUGCACAGUUUCUUAAGAAAUGCCCCAACUGUUGUGGGUGGAAGAAUAGGCUCACCUGCUCAGCCUCCCUGAGAAGCAGGCAAAUACUGAAUCACCUAAACUGCAAACUGACUUUCCUAUAUGGUGUCUGCUGAUUUUCUUGCCUUGAUGGACCAAGAGGUUCUUCAAUGGUCAGUUCUAAAGUAGAAGGGAAGUGUAGAUACUUUCAAGAGAAGCUCUGCUUUUG